This 744-nucleotide ribosomal RNA is filed under the name uncultured Alphaproteobacteria bacterium. RNAcentral's name for it is "bacterial SSU rRNA". It matches the Rfam family "Bacterial small subunit ribosomal RNA", at positions 58 to 841 of the family's 1533-position model. The record is from RNAcentral. Lineage: Bacteria; Pseudomonadati; Pseudomonadota; Alphaproteobacteria.
CAAGUCGAACGCAAGGGCUUCGGCCUUGAGUGGCGCACGGGUGAGUAGCGCGUGGGAACCUGCCCUGGAGUGGGGGAUAACCGAGGGAAACUUCGGCUAAUACCGCAUGCGCCCGGGAAACCGGGGAAAGAUUUAUCGCUCUAGGAGGGGCCCGCGUCGGAUUAGCUAGUUGGUGGGGUAACGGCCUACCAAGGCGAUGAUCCGUAGCUGGUCUGAGAGGAUGAUCAGCCACACUGGGACUGAGACACGGCCCAGACUCCUACGGGAGGCAGCAGUGGGGAAUAUUGGACAAUGGGCGAAAGCCUGAUCCAGCAAUGCCGCGUGAGUGAGGAAGGCCUUAGGGUUGUAAAGCUCUUUCGGCGGGGACGAUGAUGACGGUACCCGCAGAAGAAGCCCCGGCUAACUUCGUGCCAGCAGCCGCGGUAAUACGAAGGGGGCGAGCGUUGUUCGGAUUUACUGGGCGUAAAGGGCGCGCAGGCGGUUCUGUUUGUCGAGUGUGAAAGCCCCGGGCUCAACCUGGGAACUGCGCUCGAAACGGCGGAACUAGAGUUCGGGAGAAGAGAGUGGAAUUCCCAGUGUAGAGGUGAAAUUCGUAGAUAUUGGGAAGAACACCGGUGGCGAAGGCGGCUCUCUGGACCGAUACUGACGCUGAGGCGCGAAAGCGUGGGGAGCAAACAGGAUUAGAUACCCUGGUAGUCCACGCUGUAAACGAUGUGUGCUAGACGUUGGGGAGCCUAGCUCUUC